Molecule: transfer RNA, 73 nt
Filed under: Fibrella aestuarina BUZ 2
Lineage: Bacteria; Pseudomonadati; Bacteroidota; Cytophagia; Cytophagales; Spirosomataceae
Rfam family: tRNA
About the family: Transfer RNA (tRNA) molecules are approximately 80 nucleotides in length.
Source: Rfam by way of RNAcentral
AGCGGGGUGGAGCAGUUGGUAGCUUGCUGGGCUCAUAACCCAGAGGUCACGGGUUCAAGUCCCGUCCCCGCCA